CUACGGGCUGCUGCAGCAGGGAAUUUUGCACAAUGGGCGCAAGCCUGAUGCAGCGACGCCGCGUGAGGGAUAAAGGCCUUCGGGUUGUAAACCUCUUUCAGGAGGGACGAAGCGCAAGUGACGGUACCUCCAGAAGAAGCCCCGGCCAACUACGUGCCAGCAGCCGCGGUAAUACGUAGGGGGCGAGCGUUGUCCGGAUUCAUUGGGCGUAAAGAGCUCGUAGGCGGCUCAGUAAGUCGGCCGUGAAAGCCCGGGGCUCAACCCCGGGACGCCGGUCGAUACUGCUGUGGCUAGGGUCCGGUAGAGGAGAGUGGAAUUCCCGGUGUAGCGGUGAGAUGCGCAGAUAUCGGGAGGAACACCAGUAGCGAAGGCGGCUCUCUGGGCCGGUACCGACGCUGAGGAGCGAAAGCUAGGGGAGCAAACAGGAUUAGAUACCCUUGUAGUC
Molecule: ribosomal RNA, 445 nt
Filed under: uncultured bacterium
Lineage: Bacteria
Description: partial 16S ribosomal RNA
Rfam family: Bacterial small subunit ribosomal RNA
Source: RNAcentral